This 135-nucleotide small nucleolar RNA is filed under the name Procavia capensis (Cape rock hyrax). RNAcentral describes it as "Small nucleolar RNA SNORA5 (ENSPCAG00000019273.1)". It matches the Rfam family "Small nucleolar RNA SNORA5". Rfam says of the family: ACA5 is a member of the H/ACA class of snoRNA that guide the sites of modification of uridines to pseudouridines. Lineage: Eukaryota; Metazoa; Chordata; Mammalia; Hyracoidea; Procaviidae. The record is from RNAcentral.
UGCAGCUCUGUCAAAUUCAGUGCCUGCCCUACCCAUGGCAGGCACUGGCCCAAAAGGCUGCCAUAGAAACAUUGUAACUCAUGGGCCCUGUUCCUCUUUUCUGGGCCUCAGGGAUAAAUUUGGUUACAGACACUA